RNAcentral lists this ribosomal RNA (268 nucleotides) under uncultured bacterium. RNAcentral describes it as "partial 16S ribosomal RNA". It matches the Rfam family "Bacterial small subunit ribosomal RNA", at positions 565 to 832 of the family's 1533-position model. The record is from RNAcentral.
GAGCACGUAGGUGGGUUUGUAAGUCAGGUGUGAAAGCCUUCUGUUCAAAGGAAGAACGGCAUCUGAAACUGCAGAUCUUGAGUGUAGGAGGGGAGAGUGGAACUUCUGGUGGAGCGGUGAAAUGCGUAGAUAUCAGAAGGAACGUCGGCGGCGAAAGCGACUCUCUGGCCUAUUACUGACACUGAGGUGCGAAAGUUAGGGGAGCAAACGGGAUUAGAUACCCCGGUAGUCCUAACCGUAAACGAUGGGCACUAAGUAGAGGGGUUUU